RNAcentral lists this transfer RNA (69 nucleotides) under Urocitellus parryii (Arctic ground squirrel). RNAcentral's name for it is "Spermophilus parryii (Arctic ground squirrel) tRNA". It matches the Rfam family "tRNA". Rfam says of the family: Transfer RNA (tRNA) molecules are approximately 80 nucleotides in length. Their secondary structure includes four short double-helical elements and three loops (D, anti-codon, and T loops). The record is from Rfam by way of RNAcentral. RNAcentral also lists the same sequence under 1 other name. Lineage: Eukaryota; Metazoa; Chordata; Mammalia; Rodentia; Sciuridae.
GGGCUUGUGGCUCAGCGGUAGAGCGCUUGCCUAGCAUGUAUGAGGCACUGGGUUCGAUUCUCAGCACCA